UGGGGAAUAUUGCGCAAUGGGGGAAACCCUGACGCAGCGACGCCGCGUGAAGGAAGAAGGCUUUCGGGUUGUAAACUUCUUUGAUCGGGGACGAAGAUGACGGUACCCGAGGAACAAGCCACGGCUAACUACGUGCCAGCAGCCGCGGUAAUACGUAGGUGGCGAGCGUUGUCCGGAAUUACUGGGUGUAAGGGGCGUGUAGGCGGGGCGGCAAGUCAGAUGUGAAAUACCUCGGCUUAACUGGGGUGCUGCAUCUGAAACUGUGUUUCUUGAGUGUCGGAGAGGAAAGCGGAAUUCCUAGUGUAGCGGUGAAAUGCGUAGAUAUUAGGAGGAACACCAGUGGCGAAGGCGGCUUUCUGGACGACAACUGACGCUGAGGCGCGAAAGCGUGGGGAGCAAACAGG
RNAcentral lists this ribosomal RNA (404 nucleotides) under uncultured prokaryote. RNAcentral describes it as "bacterial SSU rRNA". It matches the Rfam family "Bacterial small subunit ribosomal RNA", at positions 355 to 776 of the family's 1533-position model. The record is from RNAcentral. RNAcentral also lists the same sequence under 1 other name.